Molecule: long non-coding RNA, 658 nt
Organism: Peromyscus eremicus (cactus mouse)
Lineage: Eukaryota; Metazoa; Chordata; Mammalia; Rodentia; Cricetidae
Exons: 7
Source: RefSeq, a predicted model, not a curated record
GUUACAGUACUGUUAAGUUCAGGAAAGAAGACACUACCUUGAUCUUUCAUAUUGUUGGUAUUUUUCUACGAGGUCUUAGCAUGUGGACUUAUUUUUUUAGUUCCAGGAGUUCUCUGGAGGUACAACAAAAGGUCCAUACACUGCCCAAUGAAGAUUCCCAAUCCACUAAGGCAUGAGAAUGGAGAGUCUUGGGUUUUGAGAAGGCCCAUCUCUGACAUCCUCGCCUUAGUGCUGGAUUUCAACAUGUGGAUUUAAGUGACUCAUCUUCACAUGGGCGUGGUAAAAUGUAUCCUGUUAAAAGACUUCCACUUUCCAGCGGCAACUAGGGGUGGUCACGCUACAUCAUACUGACCAGUGAGAUGUAAGCAGAUAUCUCUGUGAAGUAGCCAGUCCUGAAGAAGAAAGCUGAGACUUCUUGGCUGGCUUUUGUAGACUUCUUCAAUGGGAUAUCAUACAUCUGGAUUCUAUGGUUCUAGUGCAAAAUAUGGGGUGUCUAGAAAGAGAUUAUAGAGCGAAGAAUGGGGUACAGGCUUCACACAGCAAACGAUAAACUCACAAAACGGGUUUCAUGGAAGACAAACUCAAGAUACCAUGCUGUUAUUACGGACCGAAAAUUUUCUCUUUACUAUUCUUUUAUUAAAAGAGAACUUGCUUUUUA